GGGCUAUAGCCAAGCGGUAAGGCAACGGACUUUGACUCCGUCAUGCGCUGGUUCGAGUCCUUCAUGGCUCACCA
Molecule: transfer RNA, 74 nt
Filed under: Bacillus anthracis (anthrax bacterium)
Lineage: Bacteria; Bacillati; Bacillota; Bacilli; Caryophanales; Bacillaceae
Description: tRNA-Gln
Rfam family: tRNA
About the family: Transfer RNA (tRNA) molecules are approximately 80 nucleotides in length. Their secondary structure includes four short double-helical elements and three loops (D, anti-codon, and T loops). Further hydrogen bonds mediate the characteristic L-shaped molecular structure. tRNAs have two regions of fundamental functional importance: the anti-codon, which is responsible for specific mRNA codon recognition, and the 3' end, to which the tRNAs corresponding amino acid is attached (by aminoacyl-tRNA synthetases). tRNAs cope with the degeneracy of the genetic code in two manners: having more than one tRNA (with a specific anti-codon) for a particular amino acid; and 'wobble' base-pairing, i.e. permitting non-standard base-pairing at the 3rd anti-codon position.
Source: RNAcentral